RNAcentral lists this ribosomal RNA (504 nucleotides) under uncultured bacterium. Its description in RNAcentral is "bacterial SSU rRNA". It matches the Rfam family "Bacterial small subunit ribosomal RNA", at positions 29 to 503 of the family's 1533-position model. The record is from RNAcentral.
AACAAAUGCUGGCGGCGUGCCUAACACAUGCAAGUCGUACGAGAAAGUCGGCUUCGGCCGAUGAGUACAGUGGCGCACGGGUGAGUAGCGCGUGGGUAAUCUGCCCCCCGGUCAGGAAUAACCCGCCGAAAGGCGGGCUAAUACCCGAUAACACUGACGCUCCGCGGAGCGUCUUUCAAAGAAGGCCUCUGUUUACAAGCUUUCGCCGGAGGAUGAGCCCGCGUACCAUUAGCUAGUUGGCAGGGUAAUGGCCUACCAAGGCUACGAUGGUUAGCUGGUCUGAGAGGAUGGCCAGCCACACUGGAACUGAGACACGGUCCAGACUCCUACGGGAGGCAGCAGUGAGGAAUCUUGCGCAAUGGGGAAACCCUGACGCAGCAACGCCGCGUGAGUGAGGAAGGCCUUCGGGUCGUAAGACUCUGUCAGAGUGGGAAGAAAUAGGAUGGGGCGUAAUAUCGACCCACUCCUUGACGGUACCUACUCAGAGGAAGCACCGGCUAACCG